UGAGGAAUAUUGGUCAAUGGUCGGGAGACUGAACCAGCCAAGCCGCGUGAGGGAGGAAGGUACAGAGUAUCGUAAACCUCUUUUGUCAGGGAACAAAGGCGGGGACGUGUCCCCGGAUGAGUGUACCUGAAGAAAAAGCAUCGGCUAACUCCGUGCCAGCAGCCGCGGUAAUACGGAGGAUGCGAGCGUUAUCCGGAUUUAUUGGGUUUAAAGGGUGCGCAGGCGGUCUGUUAAGUCAGCGGUCAAAGCCCGGGGCUCAACCCCGGCCCGCCGUUGAAACUGGCAGUCUCGAGUUGGAGAGAAGUAUGCGGAAUGCGCGGUGUAGCGGUGAAAUGCAUAGAUAUCGCGCAGAACUCCGAUUGCGAAGGCAGCAUGCCGGCUCCACACUGACGCUGAGGCACGAAAGCGUGGGUAUCGAACAGGAUUAGAUACCCUGGUAGU
This 441-nucleotide ribosomal RNA is filed under the name uncultured Porphyromonadaceae bacterium. Its description in RNAcentral is "bacterial SSU rRNA". It matches the Rfam family "Bacterial small subunit ribosomal RNA", at positions 355 to 794 of the family's 1533-position model. The record is from RNAcentral. Lineage: Bacteria; Pseudomonadati; Bacteroidota; Bacteroidia; Bacteroidales; Porphyromonadaceae.